Molecule: non-coding RNA, 114 nt
Organism: Acanthosepion pharaonis
Lineage: Eukaryota; Metazoa; Mollusca; Cephalopoda; Sepiida; Sepiidae
Source: the annotation of a GenBank genome assembly
UUACGGCCACAUCACGCUGAAAUAUCGGUUCUCAUAUGAUCACCGAAUUUAAGCAAAGUCGAGUUUGGCCAGUACCUAGAUGAGUGACCGUUUCGGAAUACUAGGUGCUGCAAG